This 2902-nucleotide ribosomal RNA is filed under the name Klebsiella pneumoniae. RNAcentral's name for it is "23S ribosomal RNA". It matches the Rfam family "Bacterial large subunit ribosomal RNA". Lineage: Bacteria; Pseudomonadati; Pseudomonadota; Gammaproteobacteria; Enterobacterales; Enterobacteriaceae. The record is from RNAcentral.
GGUUAAGCGACUAAGCGUACACGGUGGAUGCCCUGGCAGUCAGAGGCGAUGAAGGACGUGCUAAUCUGCGAAAAGCGUCGGUAAGGUGAUAUGAACCGUUAUAACCGGCGAUGUCCGAAUGGGGAAACCCAGUGCAAUUCGUUGCACUAUCGUUAACUGAAUACAUAGGUUAACGAGGCGAACCGGGGGAACUGAAACAUCUAAGUACCCCGAGGAAAAGAAAUCAACCGAGAUUCCCCCAGUAGCGGCGAGCGAACGGGGAGCAGCCCAGAGUCUGAAUCAGCUUGUGUGUUAGUGGAACGGUCUGGAAAGUCCGACGGUACAGGGUGAUAGUCCCGUACACCAAAAUGCACAGGCUGUGAACUCGAAGAGUAGGGCGGGACACGUGGUAUCCUGUCUGAAUAUGGGGGGACCAUCCUCCAAGGCUAAAUACUCCUGACUGACCGAUAGUGAACCAGUACCGUGAGGGAAAGGCGAAAAGAACCCCGGCGAGGGGAGUGAAAAAGAACCUGAAACCGUGUACGUACAAGCAGUGGGAGCACCUUCGGGUGUGACUGCGUACCUUUUGUAUAAUGGGUCAGCGACUUAUAUUCUGUAGCAAGGUUAACCGUAUAGGGGAGCCGCAGGGAAACCGAGUCUUAACUGGGCGUUAAGUUGCAGGGUAUAGACCCGAAACCCGGUGAUCUAGCCAUGGGCAGGUUGAAGGUUGGGUAACACUAACUGGAGGACCGAACCGACUAAUGUUGAAAAAUUAGCGGAUGACUUGUGGCUGGGGGUGAAAGGCCAAUCAAACCGGGAGAUAGCUGGUUCUCCCCGAAAGCUAUUUAGGUAGCGCCUCGUGAAUUCAUCUUCGGGGGUAGAGCACUGUUUCGGCUAGGGGGUCAUCCCGACUUACCAACCCGAUGCAAACUACGAAUACCGAAGAAUGUUAUCACGGGAGACACACGGCGGGUGCUAACGUCCGUCGUGAAGAGGGAAACAACCCAGACCGCCAGCUAAGGUCCCAAAGUCAUGGUUAAGUGGGAAACGAUGUGGGAAGGCACAGACAGCCAGGAUGUUGGCUUAGAAGCAGCCAUCAUUUAAAGAAAGCGUAAUAGCUCACUGGUCGAGUCGGCCUGCGCGGAAGAUGUAACGGGGCUAAACCAUGCACCGAAGCUGCGGCAGCGACACUAUGUGUUGUUGGGUAGGGGAGCGUUCUGUAAGCCUGCGAAGGUGUGCUGUGAGGCAUGCUGGAGGUAUCAGAAGUGCGAAUGCUGACAUAAGUAACGAUAAAGCGGGUGAAAAGCCCGCUCGCCGGAAGACCAAGGGUUCCUGUCCAACGUUAAUCGGGGCAGGGUGAGUCGACCCCUAAGGCGAGGCCGAAAGGCGUAGUCGAUGGGAAACAGGUUAAUAUUCCUGUACUUGGUGUUACUGCGAAGGGGGGACGGAGAAGGCUAUGUUAGCCGGGCGACGGUUGUCCCGGUUUAAGCAUGUAGGCUGGUUAUCCAGGCAAAUCCGGAUAAUCAAGGCUGAGGUGUGAUGACGAGGCACUACGGUGCUGAAGUAACAAAUGCCCUGCUUCCAGGAAAAGCCUCUAAGCAUCAGGUAACAUCAAAUCGUACCCCAAACCGACACAGGUGGUCAGGUAGAGAAUACCAAGGCGCUUGAGAGAACUCGGGUGAAGGAACUAGGCAAAAUGGUGCCGUAACUUCGGGAGAAGGCACGCUGGUGUGUAGGUGAAGCCCCUGCGGGUGGAGCUGAGACCAGUCGAAGAUACCAGCUGGCUGCAACUGUUUAUUAAAAACACAGCACUGUGCAAACACGAAAGUGGACGUAUACGGUGUGACGCCUGCCCGGUGCCGGAAGGUUAAUUGAUGGGGUUAUCCGUAAGGAGAAGCUCUUGAUCGAAGCCCCGGUAAACGGCGGCCGUAACUAUAACGGUCCUAAGGUAGCGAAAUUCCUUGUCGGGUAAGUUCCGACCUGCACGAAUGGCGUAAUGAUGGCCAGGCUGUCUCCACCCGAGACUCAGUGAAAUUGAACUCGCUGUGAAGAUGCAGUGUACCCGCGGCAAGACGGAAAGACCCCGUGAACCUUUACUAUAGCUUGACACUGAACAUUGAGCCUUGAUGUGUAGGAUAGGUGGGAGGCUUUGAAGCGUGGACGCCAGUCUGCGUGGAGCCAACCUUGAAAUACCACCCUUUAAUGUUUGAUGUUCUAACGUUGGCCCCUUAUCGGGGUUGCGGACAGUGUCUGGUGGGUAGUUUGACUGGGGCGGUCUCCUCCCAAAGCGUAACGGAGGAGCACGAAGGUUAGCUAAUCCUGGUCGGACAUCAGGAGGUUAGUGCAAUGGCAUAAGCUAGCUUGACUGCGAGCGUGACGGCGCGAGCAGGUGCGAAAGCAGGUCAUAGUGAUCCGGUGGUUCUGAAUGGAAGGGCCAUCGCUCAACGGAUAAAAGGUACUCCGGGGAUAACAGGCUGAUACCGCCCAAGAGUUCAUAUCGACGGCGGUGUUUGGCACCUCGAUGUCGGCUCAUCACAUCCUGGGGCUGAAGUAGGUCCCAAGGGUAUGGCUGUUCGCCAUUUAAAGUGGUACGCGAGCUGGGUUUAGAACGUCGUGAGACAGUUCGGUCCCUAUCUGCCGUGGGCGCUGGAGAAUUGAGGGGGGCUGCUCCUAGUACGAGAGGACCGGAGUGGACGCAUCACUGGUGUUCGGGUUGUCAUGCCAAUGGCACUGCCCGGUAGCUAAAUGCGGAAGAGAUAAGUGCUGAAAGCAUCUAAGCACGAAACUUGCCCCGAGAUGAGUUCUCCCUGAGACUUUAAGUCUCCUGAAGGAACGUUAAAGACGAUGACGUUGAUAGGCCGGGUGUGUAAGCGCAGCGAUGCGUUGAGCUAACCGGUACUAAUGAACCGUGAGGCUUAACCUU